RNAcentral lists this ribosomal RNA (254 nucleotides) under uncultured bacterium. Its description in RNAcentral is "partial 16S ribosomal RNA". It matches the Rfam family "Bacterial small subunit ribosomal RNA", at positions 524 to 776 of the family's 1533-position model. The record is from RNAcentral.
UACGUAGGGUGCAAGCGUUGUCCGGAAUUAUUGGGCGUAAAGAGCUCGUAGGCGGUGUGUCGCGUCGGCCGUGAAAACCUGCAGCUUAACUGUGGGCUUGCGGUCGAUACGGGCAUCACUGGAGUUCGGCAGGGGAGACUGGAAUUCCUGGUGUAGCGGUGGAAUGCGCAGAUAUCAGGAGGAACACCAAUAGCGAAGGCAGCUCGCUGGGACGGUACUGACGCUAAGGCGCGAAAGCGUGGGGAGCGAACAGG